AUAAGUAAGCUGGGCGGAAAAGACACUAAAUAGGAUUCCCGCAGUAAUUGCGAAUGAAAAGGGAUAGGCUCAGCAUCGAAAUUGAGGCCAUUGGCCUUGAAUUGUAGUCUCGGGAUGUACCGCCAACCGAGGCACAGGUGUAAGCCUCUUGGAAAAGAGCACCGACGAGGGUGAGAGUCCCGCUCGGCAUCUGCAGCCCCCUGUGUACGGCGUAUAUCUUCAGAGUCACGUUCCUCGGAAUUGGAGCGCAAAGCUGGUGGUAAGUUUCAUCUCAAGCUAAAUACUGGCUCGAUACUGAUAGCCAACAAGUACCAUGAGGGAAAGAUGCAAAGGACUUUGGAAAGAGAGCUAAAAGUGCCUGAAAGUGCUGAAUGGGAAGCGAAUGGAACCAGUCCGCUAGGUGAGAUUGUUGCGCGCGAUCGUGACUGGCUGUGGCCUCAAGCCUCGCUGUGGCAAUGGGCUUUGAAGUGGGCGCGCGCGGUGGUUCUCGCUUUGUGUGUCAUCAUUAGUUCGCGAUAGAGGACAACUCUAUGGGCAUGGCAGCUUGCUACUGGGGCGUGCGAAUGUGCCUGGCAGAACUCAUUUGUGUACUGAUGCAGCGGCGUAUUGGCAAACAUGGUUCUAUCCCGACCCGUCUG
This 638-nucleotide ribosomal RNA is filed under the name Adenoides sinensis. Its description in RNAcentral is "partial large subunit ribosomal RNA". It matches the Rfam family "Eukaryotic large subunit ribosomal RNA", at positions 42 to 655 of the family's 3401-position model. Lineage: Eukaryota; Dinophyceae; Gonyaulacales; Gonyaulacaceae. The record is from RNAcentral.